CGGCAGCCCGAGUGGUGAUCGAUUUUAUUGAGCCUAAAGCGUCCGUAGCCGGACUAGUAAACCCUUGGGUAAAUUGGGCAGCUUAACUGUCCAAAUUCCGAGGGGACUGCUAGUCUUGGGACCGGGAGAGGUCAGAGGUACUCAAGGGGUAGGGGCUAAAUCCUGUAAUCCUUUGGGGACCACCAGUGGCGAAGGCGUCUGACUAGAACGGAUCCGACGGUAAGGGACGAAACCCUGGGGCGCGAACCGGAUUAGAUACCCGAGUAGUCC
This 270-nucleotide ribosomal RNA is filed under the name uncultured archaeon. RNAcentral's name for it is "partial 16S ribosomal RNA". It matches the Rfam family "Archaeal small subunit ribosomal RNA", at positions 477 to 747 of the family's 1478-position model. The record is from RNAcentral.